This 434-nucleotide unclassified non-coding RNA is filed under the name Hevea brasiliensis (rubber tree). Lineage: Eukaryota; Viridiplantae; Streptophyta; Magnoliopsida; Malpighiales; Euphorbiaceae. The record is from RNAcentral.
UUUAGCUUUUCAUUUAGGAACUUUCACGAACAUAACAAAUGCAUGCGAAGACACCCAGAAGUUUAUCAUAGCCUCACACCAUCAUCGACCACAAGUUUAUCAUAUCCGAGUGAUCUUCGUAAGUAAACUUUGAUUAUUUAGAUAAACCUCAGUUGUUAAGAAUCUUUCAAUGCGUCUAUUAACCAAGUCCCUGUUGGCGCCUAUACUUUUCAUGUCAUGACACAUGACAUUACACCUGAAUAGAGAAGUAUAUAUGCACUGCUCAAGCAAGCAAAGGAAGACCCUUGACCCAUCAUUAUUGUGACUCUCUUGAAGCAGCAGCUUGCGCCCUGAACCAGAAGCAAUAGAGAGAACAAAGCAAGACGUGUGGCAUCAAUCUUUUCCAGAAGGUUCAGCAUCAAUUCAUAGAGAGUCUCUGCAUAGUGGUAUUCAAG